AGGAAGUGGAGUAGAGGAUGAUAUGCCAAAAUGGCUUGAGUUCUAACCUUGAAUUGAGUUCCUUCACAAUAUUGUAACUGUUUUUCAUAUAGGUAGGUGUCUUCAAGUGUUGACAUGUGUCAAAGUGUCAACACAUGUCGUCAUGCGAUACCAACCAAAAAGUGAAGUGUUGUGGUGCCGUUGUGAUGAAGUAGAUUUAUCAUAUAUAGGUUUUUUAGAAGUAAUAUGGAAAUGGAAAUGUUUGGCCCCUCUUUAAUGUGAUCUUCUUGAUGGCAAUGUUACAACGACAUUCACCUUUUGAUUGGUGUCGCUUUUCGAUAUACGUUGACACUUUGAAAUGUGUCAACACUUGAGGACACUUGGCUGUAUAGAAAACAAACAAAAUUGUGGAAGGGCUCAUUGCAAUGUUUGAACUCAAACUAUUUUGACAUAUUGUCUUCUACUCUACCACCU
This 453-nucleotide microRNA precursor is filed under the name Amborella trichopoda. Its description in RNAcentral is "miR8599 stem-loop (atr-MIR8599)". Lineage: Eukaryota; Viridiplantae; Streptophyta; Magnoliopsida; Amborellales; Amborellaceae. The record is from miRBase by way of RNAcentral.